UGGGGAAUAUUGCACAAUGGGCGGAAGCCUGAUGCAGCGACGCCGCGUGGGGGAUGACGGCCUUCGGGUUGUAAACCCCUUUCGGCAGGGAACAAGCCCCUUGGGGUGAGGGUACCUGCGGAAGAAGCGCCGGCUAACUACGUGCCAGCAGCCGCGGUAAUACGUAGGGCGCGAGCGUUAUCCGGAAUUAUUGGGCGUAAAGAGCUCGUAGGCGGUUUGUCGCGUCUGCUGUGAAAGCCCGGGGCUCAACCCCGGGUCUGCAGUGGGUACGGGCAGGCUGGAGUGCAGUAGGGGAGACUGGAAUUCCUGGUGUAGCGGUGAAAUGCGCAGAUAUCAGGAGGAACACCGAUGGCGAAGGCAGGUCUCUGGGCUGUAACUGACGCUGAGGAGCGAAAGCAUGGGGAGCGAACAGGAUUAGAUACCC
This 424-nucleotide ribosomal RNA is filed under the name uncultured bacterium. RNAcentral describes it as "bacterial SSU rRNA". It matches the Rfam family "Bacterial small subunit ribosomal RNA", at positions 355 to 787 of the family's 1533-position model. The record is from RNAcentral.